Molecule: long non-coding RNA, 3753 nt
Filed under: Homo sapiens (human)
Lineage: Eukaryota; Metazoa; Chordata; Mammalia; Primates; Hominidae
Source: RNAcentral
GGGUGAAAACCGGAGUGGGGGUGGGAACGAGAUAAAAAACGGGGCAGGAGCGAUUCGGAAGAAGACUGUCCCCUUACCUACCUACGGCGACAGCCUCGCCUGUCCCCGUCCCCCUGAGAAACCUGCUCUCCCUGUCUACCCGCAUAGCCUCAAGAAAUGGCUCGCUUGGGUCAGACGCCCCCUUUUUAACAUUCCAGGGCCAGGGCAGGAGUCAUCAUGGAGGCUUUUCAUGCCUGAAAGACCCCAUUUCUUAGUUGUCCGGUCCCCAGUAGUAUCAGUGGCUUGGGGAUUUCUUACUGAGCUCAGCUCAUUGUCCCCAAAAUGCCUCCCCUUACCCCCAACUCGAGCGCUUCCCUUUCCUGCUUUGGGCCCAAGCUCUUCCCGCGGUUCUUGGUGUCAGCUUCAUUCAAGUCACUCUCCCGCCUCUCAUUCCUUUCUCCCCGCCUUUCUUCGCUUCCCUCCAAGUGCCCUCUCCAUUUGCCGGUCACUGGUCCCAGAGCUCCGGAUCGCAGUGGUUCCAUUUUAAAUUUCUUUGCUUCCUAACGCAACCUAUGUUUUCUACGGUAACUGAGGUUCCCGUGUUCUUUUUCACCAUGGUCUCUCCGUUUUAAUGUUUCGGGUUUUUUUACCCAGGCCCCUGUUUUAUGAGCCCUGGGUACGUCCUUCCUGUGUCCCGUUUGGCCUCCUGGGUUACACUCCUGUUCACCCCGCUUGGCCGGUUUUUUUUUUUCUUUUCUUUGAACCUGCCGGUUUCUCAGUCUCCCCCUUUUCCGCUGGCUACCUGUCCCUUUCUCGCCGCCCAUGUUAACUUUAGCAUGCCCCGUUCUCUCUCUUCAUUUUCCACUGGGUAUUUUUUAUGUUUCCCAAUUUUAAAAACGGCCCAGCGCACCCCUUUUUUUGGGACUCCACUUUUAUCUCUGGCACCAGUGUCGGCCUCCUCCACCUCUGCUCCCAUUUAAUCGCUAAUUUCCUGCCUCCUGAGGACCCCCGUUUUAUUGUCCAGGCUCCCCCCUCCCAUUUUUCUCUUCUCUAAUUUUCUGAGUCUCCAUUUUUUGUCUCCCAAAUUCCUUCGAUUCCUGGAGUCUUACAGGCCUCGUUUUUAUGUACACGUCAUGGAAAAGAAUAAAAGGGUAAGGUCGCGGGGCGCGAUGGCUCAUGCCUGUAAUCCCAGCACUUUGGGAGGCCAAGGCGGGCAGAUCACCUGAGGUCAGGAGUUCGAGACCAGCCUGGCCGAUAUGGCCAAACCCAAUCUCUACUAAAAAUACAAAAAUUAGCUGGGUGUGGUGGCGGGCACCUGUAAACCCGGCUACUCGGGAGACUGAGGCAGGAGAAUCACUUGAACCCAGGAGGUGGAGGUUGCAGUGAGCUGAGAUCUUGCCAUUGCACACCAGCCUGGGUGAUGGAGGCUCCGUCUGGAGGAAAAAAAAAAAAAAAAAACAAAAAAGGCGGGGCUGAGGUGAGAAGAAUAUUGUUACCAAUUUUUAAAAAGCUAGUAAAAAAAAUUUUUUUUGGCAAGUUCGUUUUUCCAAGUCUUUCAAUUUACUAACCAGGUCUCAAUCAAGAUCACAAAAGCACUUACUUAAAAAUAGCUUUAUUCCAUUAUCUUUUAAAAAAGGCAUAUGAUAACCUCAGAACUAAUUUCUCCCAACCUCCCCCCACCACAUCUUAAAAUGUAAAUAAUGGAGAAGGAGCUGCUUAUUUUUCUUUGCAGCAGUUCCUGGCCAGUCCCAACGUGAGAAAUAUCAGUUGGCACUUAUUGCAUCAUAAUACAUUUUGCCUAGUAAGGAUGAUUUUCUAAGUCUCAGUGCAUGGGUUAUUGCAAUUUUCCAUCUUGUGUUUUCCUGCGGCAAUUAUGGGGCUUGUAUGUGCUUGUGAGAAUUGGGGCUAAUAUCAAAGCCACAGAAUUGUGGAGGCCCCCUUCCCAGGCUCCACCAGGGUUUGAGAAAAACAAGAAAAAAGUCAGUUGCAAUGGACCUGAAGUGUGUAUCUUCCUGGUCCUGAUAAAUAGAUCUCAUGGUCUCUAAGUUAACAAUACAUGCAGAUAAGAUUUUUUUUAAAGCACAGUGUAACAACUUGGACUUUGCCACACAAACUGUAAUCCACUGUCAACAAGCUUGUGGAUUUGGGCAUGGAUCGUCUUAAAGAAGCCCGAAUUCUUCAAAAAAUCCUUAAAACUUGAAGACCUGGAUUUUACCUGACCCAGGAUAUUACUGUGCACACAGGACUCAGAUAUGUGACAGCAGUCACAGCUCAGCUGGUCAAAGGUUUAUAGUGUUUGACACCAGGACCAUGAAGCUCCCAUUUGGUAGUGGAAAAACCCUCAAAUAUUUCCUAUCAACAGAUGUGUGUGCUAGAGAAGAGGAAGUUGUGGAAAAUAUCCCAGUGAUCCUACAAAACAUUCUCUGUGUUCCUAGCUAGGGUUUUUUUUUUUUUUCACCUCAACAGUUUUUGUGUUUUCUUUUUUUAAUCUUGUUGCCUCUGAGUAGUAGACUCUUCAAUUCUGGAAUUUGGUUGCCGAAGACUCUAAAGGAGAGACUCACUCAGUAAUUCAGUGACUUUAGAAGCAAGCUGAGUAUCUCAUUCUAAAAUGACACUGAUUUACACUGUUGAGAAUGGUUAAGUACGUGGGGUACCUUGCAGCAAAAGACAAAAAGCAAAAAGCCAGUAGACCUGCAAUUCACAGCUAUUCCUGAGGGGUGCACAUUGCAGCCCACUCUUGAGCUCCCCAGUGUUCUGAGCAGGGGACAGGGCAUACUUCUAGUGAUUUGCUCAGUUUAAUCCCUUCAUCCAAGAAAACAGACCUUCCCCAACCACACCUGCAGGGUUACUUCAGACAACCAGCUUCUCAUUUUAGAGUCCCAGUUCCUAGAAUUGGAGAAAGGAAGUUCCCCUUUAAGCCCUAGGUCCUGCCCACUAGAGCAGAUACGCAACAUUAAAGAGUGCAAAUUCAAGUCAGUUUUUCAUAUUUAGCAAACAUCCAUUGCACCCUUAUAAGGUCCUCGACUUUAAGAAAUUUAUAUGAAAUCGGAAAACUUAAAUCUUGAAACUAUACAAGGAUCUACUGGAAGCAUCAGCAGGCUAAACUCAUCACAUGGUAUUUUCAUUCCAAAUUUAGUGUUAUUGAUCAGUGUACCCUCAGAAUAUCCUUAAGAAGCAGGAAGGAAACAAGUUUUCCUCUUCCCACUUCCAAGACUGAGAAAGAGUCCAGAUGAGCUGGUUUGCCCAAGCAAUUCUUAUCACCAGAUACUCCGUUAUUAAACGUGUCUCCUGCCUUCUUUGAAAGCAACAGGAGAAAUGAAGCAUAGGAAAGUCUGCAAGCUAACAGUGUAUCACCUAGGAGGCUUGUAUAUAAAUAUGAAGCUCUGCAAAAUGUAGUUAUAAUGAAAGGCACUUCCUAUUACCAGCUCCCUAACUCUUUUUAAAAGAAUUCUAUCUCCAGGGAAAUAAAACUGGUUAAGACAGUGCUCUGAUAUGCUUAGUUUAGUUCCUUCAUCCAAGAAAACAGACCUUCCCCAACCACACCUGCAGGGUUACUUCAGACAACCAGCUUCUCAUUUUAGAGUCCCAGUUCUUAGAAAUGGAGAAAGGAAGUUCCCCUUUAAGCCCUAGGUCCUGCCCACUAGAGCAGAUACGCAACUUUAAAGAGUACAAAUUCAAGUCAGAUUUUCAUAUUUAGCAGGUGAUCUUACAAAGAUAUUUUUCAAUAAAUGGAUUAUGUUUUUCAAUGAAUGGAUCUUACAAAGAUGUUUUUCA